GAAGUUGCUGAGUUUCACAAGAAUUCCUCAGCAGAGCUGGGAAUUGGUCACAGAUCUGUAGAGUCCCAGGAUUUUGCACAGUUGGCAAGUCAAAAAGUGGAUCCUUCAUUGGGCGUAAGGAAGGAUGAUUCCUUUUCUGAAACAGCGUUAAAAGACAUACAUCAGGAGCUAGUUAACUCCUAUAUUUAUACACACAAAGACGUGGAACAUAAGGAGGAGUUUAAGUGCCCGCAAACCCAAAAAGGUGGCAGGAUACGUAGUGAGGAAGGAGAUGUGAGUAACCUCCAUGCAUCUACUUGCCAUAUAGUCAGGACGAUUGUAAACGAUCCCUCUCCAGCCCCGAGUUCUGAUGCGCUGCCCGGCAGAGACACCAGCAACCCCUUUGGCUGUGGACCUUUACUGAUCACCGUUACACAGGACGGCAGGGUCAUCAAAUCUCUCGAUGGAAGGGACAACCCAGCCCUGGAUGUAGUUCACACACAGACAGUGUCUGAUGAAGAAGGUUGCAAAAAGCCAAAGGUUUAUGAGACUGAUGAGUUCAUCCAUUAUUUACUAAACUACUAUCAGACACCAGGCUAUGCACGUGUUUGCCCAGAGCCAAAAACCACUGCACAUGAGCGCUGGUGGAAGAGAGUGGUGUCUGAUGAGGAUAGUGAUAUUGACAUCAGCUUGAGUGGCAAACACGUACAGCACUUCAGAGGAGUGAGUCCUGUACAAAACCUCACCAAGAAAAACUGUAAUCACGACAAUAACUGUAGACUGGUGAUCACUGUUGGGGAACUUGAGUCAACAGAUACGCUGUUAGAAAACAGGACCCAGGGGGGUAGGUUUGCAAAAAAGUUGCAAGUGCAGGGGAAUCACUCACUGACUUCUGAUAAGUUACCACUUGCUGGACUGAAUCAUUCAUUGGAUUGCACUGCUGUUAGUCAUGACAAGGAAUUCAAACAAGAAGAUGGUAGUGAUGAAAGUACCGUAGCGCUCAAGGCACGUAGGUCUGCUUGCAGAUUAAAGGAUUUGUUGGAAGACAUCAGUGAUUCCAAGUACUCUAGAGAGGCACGUAGCAGCUUAAUGAAGAGAACAGAAAGAAGGUGUGAAGAAAUUUACACCAAUUAUAAUAAAGGGUGCUUGCCUGCCAGAGCCAGGGAAAGACAAUUACUGGUUUAUCUUGAAAAUGUAACUCUGGAAGGUCAAGAGAAGGCAAGCAGCAAAUGUAGCUUCUGCUCGAAUUCUGUCUACGAGGGCUUUGGAAGGCAGUGUGAACAUAAGCUUAAAAAGUCAUGCAAGAGGUCUAGUAGUAAAUUAAGAUGUGAAGGACAGAAAAGUGAGAGACAAUCCAGAGAAGAGGAGAGAGAUGCUCACAAAAUGAAGAAAAAACGAAAAAAGCUUUCUUCUAAUCUUUUAUCUGAUGAAUGUGGCUUUUCAGAGACGGACACUUGUGUGCAGCUGGAGUCACUCAGAAAGAUACAAAGAAAAUGUAAGAAAAUGCUCCACAACAAAGUGAAAUUAAAGACACUUCACACCGCUAUGGCAACACCAGAUGUUACCCCUCAUGGUGGCUCACCACUUCAGGAGACCCUCCAGAGGACAGGAGACGAGAGGAAAUUAAUCUUGAGAAGAGAGAUGGAUGCAGAUGUCAGAGGAUGCCCUCUUUUUCCUCUUGAGAUAAUUCAGACAAACCCCUGCCCAGAUACUUUCUGUGGAGCAGAGCCCAGAAGAGGAUGCUGAACAGCUGCUAUGUAAUGGCUUUUAAGUUUUUAUAUAGAAGUGGGAGAAGAAAGCCCUUUGGCCAUUAGAAGGUAUAUGAAAUACUGGGGUUUUCUUUUGCUUAGGUAAUUCCUUUGGCUAGAAUAUCUAACUGAUGUAGUGAGCCACAAAACCAGAAUCUGUGUUUGCCUUUUGGAUUACAGAGGACCAAAACUUUCUCCAGGGCUAGACAAACUUUCAUGGACCAGUUGCUAAGAACUGGAAAAGUACAGAUUGAGAUCUCAAAGUGUUAUAUUGUGAUUUAAGGUAGGGAACCAUGUAAAUAAUCAAAGUUACAGUAUUAGUAAUAAUGAGUCAUUGGAAAAAAAACUUAGCUAUGUAAAUCCUAGAGCAAGCAUAUGAAGUGCCUCCUCAAUCAGAUUGUAAAAAUGAUGGGACUGGAAGGUGUGUGGAUUAUUUAUACUCAAUUGUGUGAAGUAAUAGGUUUCCAAAUAUGGAAAAAAAUCCCAUCUCCUGUAAAACCCACACUGUAAAAAUGUUUGUUUUCUAUUUACAUUGGUAGAGGUGUUUCUGAAAACAUGCUGGUCUUUGGGAGGAUGGAUUUCACUGAACUUGUGAAAUGGAUAUAGCACUUCCAGGAACUUGAAUGAUUGUCUGAGCAGAGCUCUGAAUGUUAGGUGGUGAAAAGGCAGUGCUUGUCAGCAUAUUGACAGUCCCCACAUAUAUAUAUGCAGGCUGAAAAUCAGAUCACAUGAUUUCAAAAUGUGCUCUUUGCAGUGCUCACAUGCAGUGAGAUAGCUACUUAGUAUGGGUUUUCUUACAAACAAUUUCCAGAGGAAUUGUCAAAUGUUGUCAGAUUUGUGUUGCAUGUAGGUAAAAAUGUGAAAACGCAGUCUAGAAGCUUGAGUUAUAUCCAUAUUUAUUCAGCUGCCUAUAUUUAGAAGACAGCAACAAUUGCUUUUGGACAAAGUCCCUUAGCAAGAUAUAGAGGAGCAAUUCUAAGUUCAAUACACUAAUUAUUUCAGCUUUCAUUUUAGUACGCUUUAUUUAUUACAUGUCAAUAUACUAAGUUUAUGUGAUGAUGUUGCCUUCAUUACAUAGAAUCUUACCCAUGUUUGUAACUUCUGCUCUAAUAAAUAGUAAUUAAAAAAAAAUAAUUGUAAUUGU
Molecule: long non-coding RNA, 2871 nt
Filed under: Calidris pugnax (ruff)
Lineage: Eukaryota; Metazoa; Chordata; Aves; Charadriiformes; Scolopacidae
Description: lncRNA (ENSCPUG00000001528.1)
Source: RNAcentral